This 539-nucleotide ribosomal RNA is filed under the name Chloromyxum cristatum. RNAcentral's name for it is "eukaryotic LSU rRNA". Lineage: Eukaryota; Metazoa; Cnidaria; Myxozoa; Bivalvulida; Chloromyxidae. The record is from RNAcentral.
GUAUUGUGCAGUGUGGUCGCGAUCGUUUUGGUGUUGCUAUUACAUCCUUCUCAUUGUAUGUAUUACGGUGCAUAGCGCGCUGGGCCCAUCGUUUACACAAACAGCGCUGAAAUUGAUUGCGCAGGUCGGCCUGUAGUGCAGCUGCAUGCAAGUGUUGACAGCCUUAAAAACUGUUGAUCGUUGUGUAGUGCAUUAUCGAGGUUGUAGGACCAACAGAGACGAUGUGGUGGACAUUUGUGCGGUGCCAGUAAUGGGUGCAUGUUGAUGCACUUUGAGAGCAACAGUGCAAACUGGGCUAUGUGUAUGGUUGCAUUGAUUUGCAUAUUGGAUUCUACAGUGGCGACACUGAGGCCAGUGUGUAAAGGUGUGACUACACCUAGCUGCGAACAUUGUGCGUGAGGAUGUUACCAAUUGCACGCGUGUCGGUAGUGUGCAUAUCCCAGCGAGAUAUGGUACUGUCUGACCCGUCUUGAAACACGGACCAAGGAGGCUAACGUAUGCGCAAGUCGAGGAGUGGUGAAACUCUAAGGCGAAACGAA